RNAcentral lists this ribosomal RNA (580 nucleotides) under uncultured prokaryote. RNAcentral's name for it is "bacterial SSU rRNA". It matches the Rfam family "Bacterial small subunit ribosomal RNA", at positions 338 to 916 of the family's 1533-position model. The record is from RNAcentral.
CCUACGGGAGGCAGCAGUGAGGAAUAUUGGUCCAAUGGGCGAGAGCCUGAACCAAGCCAAUUCGCGUGAAGGAAGAAGGUCUUAUGGAUUGUAAACUUCUUUUACAGGGGAAUAAAGAUGAGUACGCGUACUCAAGUUGUAGUACCCUGAGAAUAAGGAUCGGCUAACUCCGUGCCAGCAGCCGCGGUAAUACGGAGGAUUCGAGCGUUAUCCGGAUUUAUUGGGUUUAAAGGGUGCGCAGGCGGGUUGAUAAGUCAGUGGUGAAAGGUUUACGCUUAACGUAGACAUUGCCAUUGAAACUGUCGAUCUUGAGUACAAAUGAGGUAGGCGGAAUGUGUUGUGUAGCGGUGAAAUGCAUAGAUAUGACACAGAACACCGAUUGCGAAGGCAGCUUACUGGGAUGUAACUGACGCUCAGGCACGAAAGCGUGGGGAUCAAACAGGAUUAGAUACCCUGGUAGUCCACGCAGUAAACGAUGAUUACUAGCUGUUAGCGAUAGAAUGUUAGUGGCUAAGCGAAAGCGAUAAGUAAUCCACCUGGGGAGUACGACCGCAAGGUUGAAACUCAAAGGAAUUGACGG